RNAcentral lists this ribosomal RNA (448 nucleotides) under uncultured bacterium. RNAcentral describes it as "partial 16S ribosomal RNA". It matches the Rfam family "Bacterial small subunit ribosomal RNA", at positions 29 to 522 of the family's 1533-position model. The record is from RNAcentral.
AGCGAACGCUGGCGGCAGGCUUAACACAUGCAAGUCGAGCGGGCCCUUCGGGGUCAGCGGCAGACGGGUGAGUAACGCGUGGGAACGUGCCCUUCGGUUCGGAAUAACCCUGGGAAACUAGGGCUAAUACCGGAUACGCCCUUCUGGGGAAAGGUUUACCGCCGAAGGAUCGGCCCGCGUCUGAUUAGCUUGUUGGUGAGGUAACGGCUCACUAAGGCGACGAUCCGUAGCUGGUCUGAGAGGAUGAUCAGCCACACUGGGACUGAGACACGGCCCAGACUCCUACGGGAGGCAGCAGUGGGGAAUAUUGGACAAUGGGGGCAACCCUGAUCCAGCCAUGCCGCGUGAGUGAUGACGGCCUUAGGGUUGUAAAGCUCUUUUACCCGGGACGAUAAUGACGGUACCGGGUGAAUAAGCCCCGGCUAACUUCGUGCCAGCAGCCGUGUAA